CGCCAGACUCCUACGGGAGGCAGCAGUGGGGAAUAUUGCACAAUGGGGGAAACCCUGAUGCAGCGACGCCGCGUGAGCGAUGAAGUAUUUCGGUAUGUAAAGCUCUCUCAGCAGGGAAGAAGAUGACGGUACCUGACUAAGAAGCCCCGGCUAACUACGUGCCAGCAGCCGCGGUAAUACGUAGGGGGCAAGCGUUAUCCGGAUUUACUGGGUGUAAAGGGAGCGUAGACGGCGAUGCAAGCCAGAUGUGAAAGCCCGGGGCUCAACCCCGGGACUGCAUUUGGAACUGUGUGGCUGGAGUGUCGGAGAGGCAGGCGGAAUUCCUAGUGUAGCGGUGAAAUGCGUAGAUAUUAGGAGGAACACCAGUGGCGAAGGCGGCCUGCUGGACGAUGACUGACGUUGAGGCUCGAAAGCGUGGGGAGCAAACAGGAUUAGAUACCCCAGUAA
RNAcentral lists this ribosomal RNA (447 nucleotides) under uncultured bacterium. RNAcentral describes it as "bacterial SSU rRNA". It matches the Rfam family "Bacterial small subunit ribosomal RNA", at positions 329 to 793 of the family's 1533-position model. The record is from RNAcentral.